Cottoperca gobio is the source of this 547-nucleotide long non-coding RNA. RefSeq lists it as uncharacterized. The record is from RefSeq and is a predicted model, not a curated record. Lineage: Eukaryota; Metazoa; Chordata; Actinopteri; Perciformes; Bovichtidae. The transcript is spliced from 5 exons.
GACAUCUUGCAAUGUUAACACAGCAGGACAAGCUGAGGAGGAGGAGGUCAGCAGGUCCGCCUCUUUACCAACACUUCCUCCUGGACAUUACGCAGCUCAGACACCGGUCAACAAGCAGGACGUAGAGGACGCUGAACCACAAGACUGAAAACGCCAGCAUAGUGUAUAAUUUUAAGGAUGACAGCCCUGCUUCUGCUCUCUGGAGCCGAAGCAUUGGGGAUGCCUCUGUCCCACUAAGCCGUUGUUCCUCCGCCUCCUCUCCUGACUCCGGCUGCCUGGUCUGUCGCGGUCUCAACCAGUUUGUCUACGUUGUGUGCCGUAAACUGGAAGAUGGUGUUCAACUGACGAUGGAGGCUGGAAGAGCCAUGGUUGACAUCUCAAGGAGUGAAUGUCCCGAACUCUCCUCUGAUGGUGCUUUACAAUGGCUGAUUCCCGUCAUCAUCGUCUCCGUCAUCAUCGUCUCCAUCAUCCUCGUCAUCGCUUUCGGCAUUUAUUGGAGAAAAAGAAGAUAACCGUGCCAAUAAAUGUGGAUUCAAGUAUUUGAAAA